Molecule: non-coding RNA, 104 nt
Filed under: Paracoccaceae bacterium
Lineage: Bacteria; Pseudomonadati; Pseudomonadota; Alphaproteobacteria; Rhodobacterales; Paracoccaceae
Description: Rhodobacteraceae bacterium Glycine sequence
Rfam family: Glycine riboswitch aptamer
About the family: This family represents the bacterial glycine riboswitch. Glycine riboswitches usually consist of two metabolite-binding aptamers domains with similar structures in tandem. The aptamers cooperatively bind glycine to regulate the expression of downstream genes.
Source: RNAcentral
AGCGUCAGGAUCGGGAGAAUCCGGCGCGGUGGCUUUGCCGCAGUCGGUGCCGAAGGAGCAACCGCCCCGGUAAACUCUCAGGCGCAACGGACCGUCCUGACAGA